Zingiber officinale is the source of this 86-nucleotide small nucleolar RNA. Lineage: Eukaryota; Viridiplantae; Streptophyta; Magnoliopsida; Zingiberales; Zingiberaceae. The record is from RefSeq and is a predicted model, not a curated record.
GUGCAGAUGAUGAUAAAAUUAUGGUAAUUUAACACAGAGAGCUUUCUAUGAAGUCUCAAAAUCGAGCUUUUUAAAACUGAUGCACA